CAGCCGUAAACUAUGCUCGCUAGGUGUCAGGCAUGGCGCGACCGUGUCUGGUGCCGCAGGGAAGCCGUGAAGCGAGCCACCUGGGAAGUACGGCCGCAAGGCUGAAACUUAAAGGAAUUGGCGGGGGAGCACCACAACAGGUGGAGCCUGCGGUUUAAUUGGACUCAACGCCGGGAAGCUCACCGGAUAGGACAGCGGAAUGAUUGCCGGGCUGAAGACUCUGCAUGACUAGCUGAGAGGUGGUGCAUGGCGUAGACGUCU
RNAcentral lists this ribosomal RNA (261 nucleotides) under uncultured archaeon. RNAcentral describes it as "partial 16S ribosomal RNA". It matches the Rfam family "Archaeal small subunit ribosomal RNA", at positions 748 to 1009 of the family's 1478-position model. The record is from RNAcentral.